This 102-nucleotide microRNA precursor is filed under the name Asparagus officinalis (garden asparagus). RNAcentral's name for it is "miR156a stem-loop (aof-MIR156a)". Its record names the gene aof-MIR156a. The stretch from base 10 to 93 matches the Rfam family "mir-156 microRNA precursor family". From Rfam's summary of the family: This family represents the plant microRNA (miRNA) precursor mir-156. The record is from miRBase by way of RNAcentral. Lineage: Eukaryota; Viridiplantae; Streptophyta; Magnoliopsida; Asparagales; Asparagaceae.
UAAUGGAGGUUGACAGAAGAGAGUGAGCACUCAUGGUUUUCUUGCAUACAGUUCAUGCUUGAAGCUAUGCGUGCUCACUUCUCUUUCUGUCACCCACCACCA